CAGUCGCCGCGGGAAUACAGAGGGUGCAAGCGUUAAUCGGAAUUACUGGGCGUAAAGCGUGCGUAGACGGUUACAUAAGUCGGGUGUGAAAGCCCCGGGCUCAACCUGGGAAUUGCAUUCGAGACUGCGUAGCUAGGGUACGGAAGAGGGAGGCGGAAUUUCAGGUGUAGCGGUGAAAUGCGUAGAUAUCUGAAGGAACACCAGUGGCGAAAGCGGCCUCCUGGUCCAGUACCGACGUUCAGGCACGAAAGCGUGGGGAGCAAACAGGAUUAGAUACCCCCGUAGUCCCUGUCUCUUAUAC
This 301-nucleotide ribosomal RNA is filed under the name uncultured bacterium. Its description in RNAcentral is "partial 16S ribosomal RNA". It matches the Rfam family "Bacterial small subunit ribosomal RNA", at positions 509 to 807 of the family's 1533-position model. The record is from RNAcentral.